RNAcentral lists this ribosomal RNA (1385 nucleotides) under Escherichia coli. Its description in RNAcentral is "partial 23S ribosomal RNA". It matches the Rfam family "Bacterial large subunit ribosomal RNA", at positions 614 to 1984 of the family's 2925-position model. The record is from RNAcentral. Lineage: Bacteria; Pseudomonadati; Pseudomonadota; Gammaproteobacteria; Enterobacterales; Enterobacteriaceae.
AAUGGGUCAGCGACUUAUAUUCUGUAGCAAGGUUAACCGAAUAGGGGAGCCGAAGGGAAACCGAGUCUUAACUGGGCGUUAAGUUGCAGGGUAUAGACCCGAAACCCGGUGAUCUAGCCAUGGGCAGGUUGAAGGUUGGGUAACACUAACUGGAGGACCGAACCGACUAAUGUUGAAAAAUUAGCGGAUGACUUGUGGCUGGGGGUGAAAGGCCAAUCAAACCGGGAGAUAGCUGGUUCUCCCCGAAAGCUAUUUAGGUAGCGCCUCGUGAAUUCAUCUCCGGGGGUAGAGCACUGUUUCGGCAAGGGGGUCAUCCCGACUUACCAACCCGAUGCAAACUGCGAAUACCGGAGAAUGUUAUCACGGGAGACACACGGCGGGUGCUAACGUCCGUCGUGAAGAGGGAAACAACCCAGACCGCCAGCUAAGGUCCCAAAGUCAUGGUUAAGUGGGAAACGAUGUGGGAAGGCCCAGACAGCCAGGAUGUUGGCUUAGAAGCAGCCAUCAUUUAAAGAAAGCGUAAUAGCUCACUGGUCGAGUCGGCCUGCGCGGAAGAUGUAACGGGGCUAAACCAUGCACCGAAGCUGCGGCAGCGACGCUGAUGCGUUGUUGGGUAGGGGAGCGUUCUGUAAGCCUGUGAAGGUGUGCUGUGAGGCAUGCUGGAGGUAUCAGAAGUGCGAAUGCUGACAUAAGUAACGAUAAAGCGGGUGAAAAGCCCGCUCGCCGGAAGACCAAGGGUUCCUGUCCAACGUUAAUCGGGGCAGGGUGAGUCGACCCCUAAGGCGAGGCCGAAAGGCGUAGUCGAUGGGAAACAGGUUAAUAUUCCUGUACUUGGUGUUACUGCGAAGGGGGGACGGAGAAGGCUAUGUUGGCCGGGCGACGGUUGUCCCGGUUUAAGCGUGUAGGCUGGUUUUCCAGGCAAAUCCGGAAAAUCAAGGCUGAGGCGUGAUGACGAGGCACUACGGUGCUGAAGCAACAAAUGCCCUGCUUCCAGGAAAAGCCUCUAAGCAUCAGGUAACAUCAAAUCGUACCCCAAACCGACACAGGUGGUCAGGUAGAGAAUACCAAGGCGCUUGAGAGAACUCGGGUGAAGGAACUAGGCAAAAUGGUGCCGUAACUUCGGGAGAAGGCACGCUGAUAUGUAGGUGAAGCGACUUGCUCGUGGAGCUGAAAUCAGUCGAAGAUACCAGCUGGCUGCAACUGUUUAUUAAAAACACAGCACUGUGCAAACACGAAAGUGGACGUAUACGGUGUGACGCCUGCCCGGUGCCGGAAGGUUAAUUGAUGGGGUUAGCGCAAGCGAAGCUCUUGAUCGAAGCCCCGGUAAACGGCGGCCGUAACUAUAACGGUCCUAAGGUAGCGAAAUUCCUUGUCGGGUAAGUUCC